UACGAAGGGGGCUAGCGUUGCUCGGAAUCACUGGGCGUAAAGCGCACGUAGGCGGAUCUUUAAGUCAGGGGUGAAAUCCCAAGGCUCAACCUUGGAACUGCCUUUGAUACUGGGGAUCUCGAGUACUGGAGAGGAGAUUGGAAUUUACGGUGUAGCAGUGAAAUGCGUAGAUAUCGUAAGGAAGACCAGUGGCGAAGGCGAAUCUCUGGACAGUUACUGACACUGAGGCACGAAGGCCAGGGGAGCAAACGGG
Molecule: ribosomal RNA, 253 nt
Filed under: uncultured bacterium
Lineage: Bacteria
Description: partial 16S ribosomal RNA
Rfam family: Bacterial small subunit ribosomal RNA
Source: RNAcentral